RNAcentral lists this ribosomal RNA (467 nucleotides) under uncultured bacterium. RNAcentral's name for it is "partial 16S ribosomal RNA". It matches the Rfam family "Bacterial small subunit ribosomal RNA", at positions 29 to 507 of the family's 1533-position model. The record is from RNAcentral.
ACGAACGCUGGCGGCGUGCUUCACACAUGCAAGUCGCACGGAAAGGCCCUGCUUUUGUGGGGUGCUCGAGUGGCGAACGGGUGAGUAACACGUGAGUAACCUGCCCUUGACUUUGGGAUAACUUCAGGAAACUGGGGCUAAUACCGGAUAGGAGCUCCUGCUGCAUGGUGGGGGUUGGAAAGUUUCGGCGGUUGGGGAUGGACUCGCGGCUUAUCAGCUUGUUGGUGGGGUAGUGGCUUACCAAGGCUUCGACGGGUAGCCGGCCUGAGAGGGUGACCGGCCACAUUGGGACUGAGAUACGGCCCAGACUCCUACGGGAGGCAGCAGUGGGGAAUAUUGCACAAUGGGCGGAAGCCUGAUGCAGCAACGCCGCGUGCGGGAUGACGGCCUUCGGGUUGUAAACCGCUUUCGCCUGUGACGAAGCGUGAGUGACGGUAAUGGGUAAAGAAGCACCGGCUAACUACGUG